CCUACGGGCGGCUGCAGUGAGGAAUUUUGGUCAAUGGACGCAAGUCUGAACCAGCCAUGUCGCGUGAAGGAGGACGGCCCUAAGGGUUGUAAACUUCUUUUGCAGUGGAAUAAAGUUUGCCACGUGUUGGCGAUUUGCAAGUACGCUGCGAAUAAGGAUCGGCUAACUCCGUGCCAGCAGCCGCGGUAAUACGGAGGAUCCAGGCGUUAUCCGGAUUUAUUGGGUUUAAAGGGUGCGCAGGCGGGGAAUUAGGUCGGCGGUGAAAUUUCGGGGCUCAACCUCGACAGUGCCGUUGAAACCGUUUCUCUUGAGUGCGGAUGAGGUAGGCGGAAUUUGUGGUGUAGCGGUGAAAUGCGUAGAUAUCACAAGGAACACCGAUUGCGGAGGCAGCUUACUAAACCGUUACUGACGCUCAUGCACGAAGGCGUGGGGAUCAAACAGGAUUAGAUACCCCAGUAGUC
RNAcentral lists this ribosomal RNA (461 nucleotides) under uncultured Porphyromonadaceae bacterium. RNAcentral's name for it is "bacterial SSU rRNA". It matches the Rfam family "Bacterial small subunit ribosomal RNA", at positions 338 to 795 of the family's 1533-position model. The record is from RNAcentral. Lineage: Bacteria; Pseudomonadati; Bacteroidota; Bacteroidia; Bacteroidales; Porphyromonadaceae.